Molecule: non-coding RNA, 313 nt
Organism: Cinara cedri
Lineage: Eukaryota; Metazoa; Arthropoda; Insecta; Hemiptera; Aphididae
Source: the annotation of a GenBank genome assembly
AUAUUAUAGGUUUAUUAUUCCGUUCUAAUACCAUAAAGUCAUGCGAUUUAAAUAUUUGCUGGGCUUCAUGCAAUCAUGACUUUUGCACAGUAACUAUUUGGACGCUACAAUGUAUUCACUAAAUAAAUAUCGUAGAUUUCAUUUAUUCAACAUAAUAUAACAGUUUAUGCGAUUAAAACACCGAAAAUAAAUUUAAUGUUAGUCGAUUAUUUCUGUAUUAUUUACGUUACUAUAAAAUAGAGUUGAUGACGUACUGAAAAAUAACGCGUUGUAAUAAAAUAUUAUAAAUUAAUGUCUGUGAUUUUUUUUUAAG